Non-coding RNA from Tetranychus urticae (two-spotted spider mite), 3590 nucleotides. The record is from RefSeq and is a predicted model, not a curated record. NCBI's taxonomy places the organism in Eukaryota, Metazoa, Arthropoda, Arachnida, Trombidiformes, Tetranychidae.
GAUUGGACUUUUUUGUUUGGUGAAAAGAGUUGAUUGAAUUUUAAUUUUGAUGAGCUUUUUCAUUCCGCCAUUCUUGAGUUAAUUAAAUUUUUUCUUUUUAAUUGAGUAAUUUUCACCUUGUACUUUUCAUGUUAUUCUAGCGGUGAAAUGAUUCCUGAAAGAAAGACUUUCCUUUCUUGUGUCUCUUUCUGUCUAUGUGUUUUUGGUGUGGGAACCUUACAUUCAAGAAGCAAAAGAUGCAGAAGAUGGCAAACAUGUGUAUGGAUAAGGAGAUAAUAGCCAUCAAUAACUCCAACUGAUCAUCUUCUUUCUUGGUUUCUCACAUAAACACUGGACGAGGAAAGAAGAAAAUGAAACUUGAGAGGAGAAAAGAUGGCUUUACGUUGACAUACUCAUUAAAAGGCUAUCUAAUGUUUAUCAUAAUUCUUCAAUAAGAGUUGCUCAUUUUCACUCUUUUUGUUAUUAAGAUUGCAUUCAUGUUAAGGGAUGAAAGGAAAAUGAAAAGAAACAUGAUGAAAAUAGAAAUAGUUAUACUUUCUUUAAGAGAGAAAGAGAGAGAUACUCUUCACAGUCUCCAAUAUCAGAUCAAUUCAGUCUUUGCCCACCUCAUUCUGUUCUUUAAAAGGCAACAAACAGUCCAGAGGGCUUCUCACAGCAGGACCAAACUUCACCAAAAUUGAUCUGCUAUCAAGACAGACUUCUUAAUACCUGAGGCGAGAAAAAAAACGAAAGACAGGCACAAUGAAAUAAGAUGCUGAUCAAGGAAAAGACUUUCAUGAUCACUCUAAAGACCGGUCUUGAGGGUGAUAAAAAGUCUCCAACCGAGGAUGAAUGUUUCUACCUCACUAUCAUUUUGCUACUUUUUGCAUAGCAAACAUUUUUUGCAAAGUGAUAGCCUUUAAUACUUGAGAUGGAAGGAGAAAGGUAAAAUAGGAAUGAAACAAACUUCAAAUCAGAUUCUAACAAGACUGUGAAAAAAAAAUCAAUUGACAGAUUAAAGGACACCUUUGGUCGCCUUAGAGUAAACUCUUCACCACUUCACUUCUCAUCUUCCCUUGUCUCGUAACCUGUCACUUUGAUCAAUAUAUUUGUCACAUAAAGAAUCAUUGAAAUGAAAAAGGAAGUCGGAAAACAAAGAGGCGAAGCCAGUGCAAAAAAGAAACAAAAUCAAGGUCCACUUACUGUUAAUUACAUUCAAAUCAGUGAACAAAUUUAAAUCUUUUCCUCUUUUCGCUACAAUGAUCAUUGAGAUUAAUUUUUUUAGCCAUUACCUAUUACCAAUUACCAAUUACCACAAAUAAUCAUCUUUUUUUUGAGCUCAAAUGAUGCUGUCAGUCAAGCAAUUUCAACUGAAAGUCCACCAAACAAUCAACAAUCUCCAAACCUCAUCAACAUUAUAAUCAUCAUCACCAUCAUUCUUAUCAUUAUUUCAAUAUUUCAUUUUGCACGAUUUGGGCAAAACAAAAACAGUUUGAAAAAAAGAUAAAAAUGAAAAUGAGAAAGUUGGCAAACUUGAGAUGAAAAAGUUCUUAUUAGAUGAAACCUUGAACCUUUUUCUUACUUUUACCUUUGUAAAUUGAACUCAUUUUUGUUUUCCAAAGAUAAAUCAAUUCGUCUUGCAGUUUGAAAACCUGGAAAGAAAAGGUAAAGGUAAAUAGUAAAGAGAACAAGAACAAGAACAAGAAAAUAAAGUAAAAAUAGGCAAAGAAGAAAUCAAGGGAAAGAAGUUUAUAACAAGAAGUGAAAAGAAGGCCAACAAAAUGAGGCCAAUAAUUAGACCAAGUCCACAGUUUUCCGUAACGGGUUGAUCAUCAUUAUCCUUUACAAAAACAUCAUCAUCAGCAAGUUGCUCAGUUUGAGUUAUUCCAAUCAAGAUGAAAAUUUUACUAGGAAAAAAAGCUCACCGCCACCCAACUGUGAAAUGUAAAAGAAGAUGGAAAAGCAAAGGUUCUAAUGGGAAAAAAUGUGGAGACAAAAUUAGUUCAUUGGUACAAGAAGAGGAGUGAAGUGAACAAGAUAAGAGACCUUUGGAAGAUGAAGGAGGAAGAAAAAUGGCAUUUUUUUGUGUGUGUCUUAUUGUUCAACGAACUGUGAAGUUUUGGUUUCAUCGUUUUGAUUACAAGACCAAUGAGACAUGUUAUUUGUCAGGAUGAAAUUUUAAUAAAGAACCGGAUCAGCGUUAUGUUAAUCAUCUUGAUAGAUUCACUGUCUAACCAUCAACUUAAUCAUCAUCUUAACCGUCAACAUUACCUUCAUACCUUGCUGUCAUUAGAAACAACGAAAAGUCCUGGAAUGGUUUGCCUUUUUUUACCCUCUUUUUAUGGUUAAUAUCUGGUGAUUACUGGUGGUUAGUCAAUAAUAAUUGUAAACUAAGUAUGCAUAAGUAGGAACAGGUAAAUCACAUUCACGGACUCGUCAGAAUAUUUAAUGUGCCUUUAACUUCACUCAAACAUCAGAAAGCCGUCAAAAUUUCAACCUAAUCCAAGAUAAAUAAAUGAAAGGUUUUCACAAGAAUGGCCAGUUUUAAAAUAAUUAUCACAAAGAAAAGGCAAAAGAUGAUGAUGAUGAUUAUUUAAGAUGGUCAAAAGAGAAGAGACAAGUUACCUGGAAUAAUAAGGAGCUUUGGAAUGUAUUGUUUGCAAUGAAGGAAACCAAAUGGAGUCACGGAAAUUCAGUAAAUGAUACUCAAAUCAGAUUCACAUGACCCUAGAUUAACAUUGAAACACUCAAAAAGGAUACCUCAAUAUAUAUAUUGCUCAAGAAGUAAUAAGAUGUUCAACAAUAAAUGAUGAUGAUAAUAAUAAUGAAAUGAAGGAUACAAGUUGUGAUGGGAAGAAGAGGAAAAGUCAAGCCAGGAAGAAGAGUAAAAACAAGAUGAACAAGUCGAGAGUAAAAAAAAGGACUCAACAAGAUUUUUACAUUUAACUCAGCACUUUGCUAGUUGAUAAUAAUGCGAUUUUGACCGAGAAAGUGAAAAGUUGUAAAUGAAAUGAUAUUUAAUAUGGAAACAUCAUCAUCAACAUCAUUAGAUAAUCAGCAUAAUAACCAAACAUGAACCAUGUGUAUUCGGCACAACAAGACGAGUUGAAAAGAAGAAGAAGAAGAUGAAGCAAAUUUUUGGACCCAACCUACAAUUUAUUUUGCUGUGUUCAUUACACUUGAGGAGAAGAAGGAAGACUUUGAUAUUUCUUGGAGAGAAAAGCCUCAGAAAUCAAACUCCAUGGUGAAAAUGGAGCAAAGCAGAUGAUAAAGAUGAGGAAUGAGAGAAAAAAGAAAUUGGAGAAAAAAGGAAGUUUAUUCACUGAAAUUUCUAAUGCUGAACACAUAUUUGUGACAAUACAGAGUUUUCCAACCGAAUUCACCAGUUUUUCCAUUUGAAAAAGUCGGUUUUUAAUCCGGAUUAAGAAAGGGUUUGAAGCAGUCUAGUUAAUCUUACAGUUUCCAUUGCUUUUAACCUUUUUUCCGAAAGAAAAAAUCUGUGUAUGUCAAUUUUCAAUGACAAUUUUCCGAAUACAAAGUGACUUGUAUUUAAUCAUGUUUUUUGUGGUAAUAAUUACCUCUUAUAAUUAAAGCUUGAGCAUCGGAUAAAA